RNAcentral lists this ribosomal RNA (253 nucleotides) under uncultured bacterium. RNAcentral's name for it is "partial 16S ribosomal RNA". It matches the Rfam family "Bacterial small subunit ribosomal RNA", at positions 524 to 776 of the family's 1533-position model. The record is from RNAcentral.
UACGUAGGGUGCAAGCGUUAAUCGGAAUUACUGGGCGUAAAGGGUGCGUAGGCGGUUCGUUAAGUCUGUCGUGAAAUCCCCGGGCUCAACCUGGGAAUGGCGAUGGAUACUGGCGAGCUAGAGUGUGUCAGAGGAUGGUGGAAUUCCCGGUGUAGCGGUGAAAUGCGUAGAGAUCGGGAGGAACAUCAGUGGCGAAGGCGGCCAUCUGGGACAACACUGACGCUGAAGCACGAAAGCGUGGGGAGCGAUCCGG